This is a long non-coding RNA of Sarcophilus harrisii (Tasmanian devil), 310 nucleotides long. RefSeq lists it as uncharacterized. NCBI's taxonomy places the organism in Eukaryota, Metazoa, Chordata, Mammalia, Dasyuromorphia, Dasyuridae. The transcript is spliced from 2 exons. The record is from RefSeq and is a predicted model, not a curated record.
UCUCCUAGAAUCAGGAGCUCUCUACUCUCCCAGAGUAGCACCAGAAGUGUUCUGAACCCUAUGCCAGAAUCCUGUUACUCUUGUCUAUACCAGAGGGAUAAUUUGAACUCAAGUUUUCUUGAUUCUUUUUACCAGUCAACAUUUACUCAAAAAAAUAUUGUCACAACACCUAGUGUUCCACUUUAAGGUUUCUAAAGGACUAUUUCAUUUGAUCAUCAUAAUCACAACAUGAAAUAGCAUUGAUCUAGAGAGGAAUUCACCAGUACAGCAUGGAACAGAACUUAGAACAUCUGCUUUUGGGGAGUAUAAG